RNAcentral lists this ribosomal RNA (468 nucleotides) under uncultured bacterium. RNAcentral describes it as "partial 16S ribosomal RNA". It matches the Rfam family "Bacterial small subunit ribosomal RNA", at positions 28 to 507 of the family's 1533-position model. The record is from RNAcentral.
GACGAACGCUGGCGGCGUGCUUAACACAUGCAAGUCGAACGGAAAGGCCCUGCUUUUGUGGGGUGCUCGAGUGGCGAACGGGUGAGUAACACGUGAGUAACCUGCCCUUUACUUUGGGAUAACUUCAGGAAACUGGGGCUAAUACCGGAUAGGAGCUCCUGCUGCAUGGUGGGGGUUGGAAAGUUUCGGCGGUUGGGGAUGGACUCUCGGCUUAUCAGCUGGUUGGUGGGGUAGUGGCUUACCAAGGCUUUGACGGGUAGCCGGCCUGAGAGGGUGACCGGCCACAUUGGGACUGAGAUACGGACCAGACGCCUACGGGAGGCAGCAGUGGGGAAUAUUGCACAAUGGGCGGAAGCCUGAUGCAGCAACGCCGCGUGCGGGAUGACGGCCUUCGGGUUGUAAACCGCUUUCGCCUGUGACGAAGCGUGAGUGACGGUAAUGGGUAAAGAAGCACCGGCUAAAUACGUG